Molecule: transfer RNA, 72 nt
Filed under: Bos taurus (domestic cattle)
Lineage: Eukaryota; Metazoa; Chordata; Mammalia; Artiodactyla; Bovidae
Also listed under: 5 other names
Rfam family: tRNA
About the family: Transfer RNA (tRNA) molecules are approximately 80 nucleotides in length. Their secondary structure includes four short double-helical elements and three loops (D, anti-codon, and T loops).
Source: Rfam by way of RNAcentral
UCCCUGGUGGCUCAGAGGUUAAAGCAUCUGCCUGCAAUGCGGGAGACCUGGGUUUGAUCCCUGGGUAGGGAA